Long non-coding RNA from Paramormyrops kingsleyae, 713 nucleotides. RefSeq lists it as uncharacterized. NCBI's taxonomy places the organism in Eukaryota, Metazoa, Chordata, Actinopteri, Osteoglossiformes, Mormyridae. The record is from RefSeq and is a predicted model, not a curated record.
UUGUAGUCUUAUCUCUGCAUGAUGAAUGAUUGCUCAACUGCACUAUAAUAUACGGCAUGCUCUUUGAUCAUUGAAUCAGGUUUUUGCUGUGACACUAUGUUUCUUCAAAAGCUGAGACUGAGACUGUCUUAAGCUAACCAGACAAUUAAAUUUGAGAUCCGUCUUUCUUGAAGUAGAAAUACCAGACAGCUUAUCAUUUAUCAUUAUGCUGGAUCAGUUUAGUGUCGUCUGAAGAACGGGACCCUGGUCCGAGGUUCUUCUGCCCUGGGACUACAGACAGUGCACAUCUACGCCCACAUCACUGUGCAGGAUCCCGACAGCCACCUGCUCCCAGAGAAAUGCUGGAGUCUUUUUCCAGGGUAUAUUCUGGAUGCUUCUGACCCCGGACCAAGUACUGAGAUGCUGCGGACUGUGCAGGGCCCCGACAAGCUUGUUCCCAUGGAAACACUGGGACCUCUUUCCAGGACCUGGUACCGUUUUUCUGGAUGAGCUCAUCACGUCCAUAUCUGAAGUUGAUCACCUGCUGUCUGUCGUCACCUUCACAGCGGUGUCGUCCUGUGGACAAGACGGAAUGUGCGGGUCCUUCUUCAGUGCUACUUUCACUCACUUCCUGUCGCUGUUCACCAGGCUCACCUGAGCAUCACCUCUCUUCAGACCACACCGCUUGCCCUUGUACCACUGGUCAACUCAAUAAAAUGUUUUUUCUGGCUGAA